Molecule: ribosomal RNA, 466 nt
Filed under: uncultured Peptococcaceae bacterium
Lineage: Bacteria; Bacillati; Bacillota; Clostridia; Eubacteriales; Peptococcaceae
Description: bacterial SSU rRNA
Rfam family: Bacterial small subunit ribosomal RNA
Source: RNAcentral
UUGACGGGGCCCGCACAAGCGGUGGAGCAUGUGGUUUAAUUCGAAGCAACGCGAAGAACCUUACCAGGUCUUGACAUCCCUGACAACCCGAGAGAUCGGGCGUUCCCCUUCGGGGGACAGGGUGACAGGUGGUGCAUGGUUGUCGUCAGCUCGUGUCGUGAGAUGUUGGGUUAAGUCCCGCAACGAGCGCAACCCUUGUCAUUAGUUGCUACGAAAGGGCACUCUAAUGAGACUGCCGGUGACAAACCGGAGGAAGGUGGGGAUGACGUCAAGUCCUCAUGGCCCUUACGGGUAGGGCUACACACGUCAUACAAUGGCCGGUACAAAGGGCAGCCAACCCGCGAGGGGGAGCCAAUCCCGUAAAGCCGGUCGUAGUCCGGAUCGCAGUCUGCAACUCGACUGCGUGAAGUCGGAAUCGCUAGUAAUCGUGGAUCAGCAUGUCACGGUGAAUACGUUCCCGGGUCUU